AUUGAACGCUGGCGGCAGGCUUAACACAUGCAAGUCGAGCGGAGAUGAGGUGCUUGCACCUUAUCUUAGCGGCGGACGGGUGAGUAAUGCUUAGGAAUCUGCCUAUUAGUUGGGGACAACAUUCCGAAAGGAAUGCUAAUACCGCAUACGUCCUACGGGAGAAAGCAGGGGAUCUUCGGACCUUGCGCUAACAGAUGAGACUAAGUAGGAUUAGCUAGUUGGUGGGGUAAAGGCCUACCAAGGCGACGAUCUGUAGCGGGGCUGAGAGGAUGAUCCGCCACACUGGGACUGAGACACGGCCCAGACUCCUACGGGAGGCAGCAGUGGGGAAUAUUGGACAAUGGGGGGAACCCUGAUCCAGCCAUGCCGCGUGUGUGAAGAAGGCCUUAUGGUUGUAAAGCACUUUAAGCGAGGAGGAGGCUACUGAGACUAAUACUCUUGGAUAGUGGACGUUACUCGCAGAAUAAGCACCGGCUAACUCUGUGCCAGCAGCCGCAGUAA
This 501-nucleotide ribosomal RNA is filed under the name uncultured bacterium. RNAcentral describes it as "partial 16S ribosomal RNA". It matches the Rfam family "Bacterial small subunit ribosomal RNA", at positions 30 to 523 of the family's 1533-position model. The record is from RNAcentral.